Parelaphostrongylus tenuis is the source of this 73-nucleotide non-coding RNA. The record is from the annotation of a GenBank genome assembly. NCBI's taxonomy places the organism in Eukaryota, Metazoa, Nematoda, Chromadorea, Rhabditida, Metastrongylidae.
GCAUCAGUGGUGCAACGGUUAGCACUAUGCUCGCGGAAAGUGUGAGAUCUGGGUUUAAAUCCCGGCUGACGCA